Heterocephalus glaber (naked mole-rat) is the source of this 769-nucleotide non-coding RNA. Lineage: Eukaryota; Metazoa; Chordata; Mammalia; Rodentia; Bathyergidae. The record is from RefSeq and is a predicted model, not a curated record.
CUAAGUAACUCAAGAAUGAUAUUUGGGACCCAACAACCGCUUUUGAUAACCAUCUUCUGGGGUAACUCCAACCCUGGCUAGUGGCCGCUUGGCAUUGCUCAAAUCAUCCCUGUAGACUUCAUCAUGUGCUCGCUGCUUCAUGGGCUGACCUUAAGUUAACAGAGGGCUGCUGGAAGGGGAUAUGUAUGCCCUCGUGUCUCUCUUCAGGGGAUAUACAUUGCCCGAAAAGAAAAUGCUGAUUCUUCCCUUCAGUCCCACCACUGAUGCUGCAUACCCAGACUGAUGCCAUCAGACCUGAGAAUUGUGUCUCAGCUCUCCUAGGCCUUCCAGCUCCAUUGCCAACAAGCACUGGGUGACAGGUCCUUGAGAAGGAUACUUCGUCCUGUGAAGAAAACCCCUGGUCUCAUGUCAUUUCACACCUUCGAAGUUUGGCCUGUGAUCUUAAAAUACAUGAAUGUUCCUUAUACAGCUGCAACCUCAUGAAGGUCCCUCUCAAAAACAGUACAAGGACUCAACUUUGUGGAGACCACAAGUGGUGUAUGGACAGAGAGGCCUGAGACGACAUUCCCAGCGAUCACAAUAUACAGACUUAAAAAGUGCUAAAUCUCAAAGACAUUGAGCAGAAGAAAGAAGAUGUUAUCAAAGACUGAGUCAGAUCAUCUGAAAAGGAGCUGGAAUGGAGAUGAAGGUCUGAAUAAAGGGACACCAAAAGCAGUAUCUCCAGAUAAGUACAUUUAUGCAUGUAACCGCAAAUACGCAUAUGGUUAAG